GCCGCUGGAGCCGUGAGCCGUGCCUUUUGGAGAUGGCAACAGAAAUACUGGAAACCCAAGCGGCUGGGAAUUGCCCCGUUCUUCCAGAUCAUCGUCGGCGGAAUGGUCUUGUGGUGUCAUCAUUGUCGGCGGAAGCACCACAGGAACUCCAA
Aedes aegypti (yellow fever mosquito) is the source of this 152-nucleotide non-coding RNA. The record is from Rfam. Lineage: Eukaryota; Metazoa; Arthropoda; Insecta; Diptera; Culicidae.